This 254-nucleotide ribosomal RNA is filed under the name uncultured bacterium. RNAcentral describes it as "partial 16S ribosomal RNA". It matches the Rfam family "Bacterial small subunit ribosomal RNA", at positions 526 to 779 of the family's 1533-position model. The record is from RNAcentral.
CGUAGGGGGCAAGCGUUGUCCGGAUUCAUUGGGCGUAAAGAGCGUGUAGGCGGCCAGGUAGGUCGGUUGUGAAAACUGGAGGCUCAACCUUCAGAGGUCGACCGAAACCAUCUGGCUAGAGUCCGGGAGAGGAGAGUGGAAUUCCUGGUGUAGCGGUGAAAUGCGCAGAUAUCAGGAAGAACACCCGUGGCGAAAGCGGCUCUCUGGAACGGUACUGACGCUGAGACGCGAAAGCGUGGGGAGCGAACAGGAUU